This 253-nucleotide ribosomal RNA is filed under the name uncultured bacterium. Its description in RNAcentral is "partial 16S ribosomal RNA". It matches the Rfam family "Bacterial small subunit ribosomal RNA", at positions 524 to 776 of the family's 1533-position model. The record is from RNAcentral.
UACGUAGGGUGCAAGCGUUGUCCGGAAUUAUUGGGCGUAAAGAGCUCGUAGGCGGUUUGUUGCGUCGGCUGUGAAAUCCCGAGGCUCAACCUCGGGUCUGCAGUCGAUACGAGCAAACUAGAGUGUUGCAGGGGAGACUGGAAUUCCUGGUGUAGCGGUGAAAUGCGCAGAUAUCAGGAGGAACACCAGUGGCGAAGGCGAGUCCCUGGACAACACCUGACACUGAGGCACGAAAGCUAGGGGAGCAAACAGG